RNAcentral lists this long non-coding RNA (563 nucleotides) under Homo sapiens (human). RNAcentral describes it as "PREDICTED lncRNA (TCONS_00174853)". Lineage: Eukaryota; Metazoa; Chordata; Mammalia; Primates; Hominidae. The record is from RNAcentral.
AAAAGAGCAGAGCUGGGAGACCAGGGAGGAUGUAGCUGCAGGAAUCCCAGGAAUGCAGGUGAGGGCUGGAGGCGGUUGCCCUGCAGGAGCCGAGUGACGAUGACCUGUGGAUGAGCAGCCUGGGAUGCCCCUGUCCCCAGCCUCUUCAACCUGACACAAGUUUGCAUUCUAUGCUCUCUUUCUUUGGAACAAGGAUUGACUCCUAAGUGGCAUCUGGAGAAGGCCGAGCUUCCUGCAGGGACCUGAAGAGGGUUUUUAGAAACAGAAACGGAGUCAUCAGAUUGCUCACAGUGGCCAAAUCUUGCCCUAAAGUCAAAGCUCUGAAGCACUGCACUAAAGAGCUCUUGGAACACCCGUGGAUUCCCAAGGAAAGGAAUGGAUAAAGUUAAGCCAUGAUGACCUUGUUGAAUCCAGCCAUUCUGCAAGUGCCUGUUUUGACUUUAGGGAUGGAAGUCCUUCCAGGCAUGCCAAGAGGGAAGGAAACAUGGCAGGUGCACUGGCUUUGAAGUUGCCGUGGUGGUUGCAAUCCUGCAUCUGUCUGUUCCUGAUGGGGUGACCUCAGG